GGAGAGAUGGCUGAGUGGUCGAAAGCGGCACCCUGCUAAGGUGUUACACGGGUUACCGUGUCGAGGGUUCGAAUCCCUCUCUCUCCGCCA
RNAcentral lists this transfer RNA (90 nucleotides) under Zetaproteobacteria bacterium. RNAcentral's name for it is "tRNA-Ser". It matches the Rfam family "tRNA". Rfam says of the family: Transfer RNA (tRNA) molecules are approximately 80 nucleotides in length. Their secondary structure includes four short double-helical elements and three loops (D, anti-codon, and T loops). The record is from RNAcentral. Lineage: Bacteria; Pseudomonadati; Pseudomonadota; Candidatius Mariprofundia.